UGGCCAUGCGUCUAGAUUGGUAAAUAGUUUACUAAUAAGGCUUACUUUCGUAAAAAAUCCUAUAUUAGGUAUCACUAAGUUGUAACACUUAAUUUAUGCUCAAUCCUUUUUAUUUUUUUUCCUUAUUAAAUAUUUUUUUUCUUCUAAUCUCAUUGUAGAAAAAAAUGAGCGGUACCCUUUAUUUUUCAUUUUUUUGAACAUCUCAUUCUAAUCUAUCUCCUCCUCUCAUUCUUGCUCAAAUACCCAUUCUCUCUCUGAAUGAGUUUAGAUUAUACAAUCAAUGGAGUCGCCUUCAUUAUUAACAGCGUCAUCCCCUGAAUCAAUCAUCAUCAUCGAUAAAUACCAUCAUCUGAAUCACAGGCAACAUCAUCAAAUGAAUCGAGAGUUCGAGAGCGAAGGAAUAAUAGCAUACGGGUUUCAUUCGUCACAAAUUCGCCAUCUGGGGUUUCAAUUGUCACAAAAUCACAAAUCCAGUUGAAUUAUUCAUCUCUGAUUUCAUCUAAUUUUCGCUUCCAAUCAGAUCGAUGAAUUCAGCAGUCUUGGCGAGGCAGCAGCUGCAAGCUUAAAUCCCCACCCUAGCUAUAGCUAGCAUUUGAAUGAAGUAGAACUAGGGAAGAGGUGAAUCAGAUUCUAGCCAACAUUGGUGUUUCAGAUUGGUAUUCUUAUCAAUGUGCCUACUAUUUGAAAUUACUUUUACAAUCUUCUACAUAUGUGAUAACAUAAUUUUCUUGUACUUGUUAGAAAUAUAUAUUCUGAUAAAGUACGAACAAAAUUUCAAUAAGACUUUUCCAGAUUUUAAACUAUAGGAAUGUCUUGGUGGUAGUGGCCUUUCUCUUCCAGAAUUCCAUGGACUCAUAAAGAAACUUUAAGUUACUGAGAGGAAGAUAUCACAGGGAAAAGUAUACAGAUAAAAUAUCACAAUACUAGCUACUACACACCUUACAAACAUGAUUAGAAAUUUUGGCCAUAUAUUAAGAAAGUAAUAAAACAAUGCAAUUUAAUAAUAAGCUAAAAAGUGUCACCUGAUUGUGUAAUGCCCAACAGCUCACUCUCUAGCAUUUGACUUUCUUUCAUCCUUCAGGUUUGGCCACUAAGGUUGUACUCAUUCAGAUCAUCUCCUUUCUUACCUACAUUGAUAGGAAACAAUUACCAUUUUCUAGCAUGUUCAUUUAACUGCCGAGGGGCAAUCUGAACUAUUAUAUAAGUGCUUUUUUUCUUUUUCUUUUAUUUUUCUAUUUGAACUUGUUAUGUUAUGAUUUUUGUAAGUUAGUGGUUAAGUGUAGUGUAACAAAAUUUACUCUGACCUCUAUUUUGCAAGUCAAAUUUUCAAGGUCUCAUAUUUUAUAUAGUGACAAAGUUUACAUUUGGCAGUUUUGAGCUGAGUGGUUUUAAGGUGCUUGGGCAGCAGGCGACUUGUGCCGGCUUCAAUUCACUAAGAAUCUGGAGAAAAUCAGGGGGAAGGAAGUGCUAGCUGCAAACACAGAAGAAAUUGUUCGUGUAGAGUCUAGUUCAGUUGUUCAAUCCCAGUUUGUGGACACGAAAAUGGUCUCUUAUCCCAGAAUAGCUGUUGAAACUCAGAAAAAUAGAUUUUCCACUGUGAUAAGUGCCGCACUUGCAACUACGGCUGCAGUUAGCACAAGUACUCCCAAUGUUUUUUCUAGCUAGCUAGCUGCUGCUAUGUGCUAUUGUUACUAUUGUUUGCUGCAACUGCGCUGACUGUUUUUUAGAGAUUAAAGGUCUAAAAGAGACUAAAGUUCACUUUCUUUUUAUUUUGAUUAUUAGAUUGUUUAGCGAAUAAAAAAAUUGGUGUUUAUGGAUGUUUUUUGUAAGAACUAUGAAAUUAAUUAUUUCAAUUCAAAUUAUUGACUAU
Molecule: long non-coding RNA, 1870 nt
Organism: Chenopodium quinoa (quinoa)
Lineage: Eukaryota; Viridiplantae; Streptophyta; Magnoliopsida; Caryophyllales; Amaranthaceae
Exons: 4
Source: RefSeq, a predicted model, not a curated record